AAUUAYUGGGCKUAAAGGGCGCKUAGGCGGGUCGUUAAGUUGGGGGUGAAASCCCGGGGYUMAACYUSGRAAAUUGCCUUCAAUACUGGCGACCUUGAGUAUGGGAGAGGUGAGUGGAACUCCGAGUGUAGCAGGUGAAAUUCGUAGAUAUUCGGAAGAACACCARUGGCGAAGGCGACUCACUGGCCCAUUACUGACGCUGAGGCGCGAAAGCGUGGGGAGCAAACAGGAUUAGAUACCCUGGUAGUCCACGCCGUAAACGAUGAGUGCUAGUUGUCGGCAUGCWUGCAUGUCGGUGACGCAGCUWACGCAUUAAGCAC
This 320-nucleotide ribosomal RNA is filed under the name uncultured Caulobacteraceae bacterium. RNAcentral's name for it is "partial 16S ribosomal RNA". It matches the Rfam family "Bacterial small subunit ribosomal RNA", at positions 549 to 867 of the family's 1533-position model. Lineage: Bacteria; Pseudomonadati; Pseudomonadota; Alphaproteobacteria; Caulobacterales; Caulobacteraceae. The record is from RNAcentral.